UGGGGAAUAUUGCACAAUGGGCGAAAGCCUGAAUGCAGCAACGCCGCGUGAGUGAUGAAGGCCUUCGGGUUGUAAAGCUCUGUCUUUUGGGACGAUAAUGACGGUACCAAAGGAGGAAGCCACGGCUAACUACGUGCCAGCAGCCGCGGUAAUACGUAGGUGGCAAGCGUUGUCCGGAUUUACUGGGCGUAAAGGAUGCGUAGGCGGAUUUUUAAGUGAGAUGUGAAAACCCUAGCUUAACUUGGGGACUGCAUUUCAUACUGGAAAUCUAGAGUGCGGGAGAGGAGAAUGGAAUUCCUAGUGUAGCGGUGAAAUGCGUAGAGAUUAGGAAGAACACCAGUGGCGAAGGCGAUUCUCUGGACCGUAACUGACGCUGAGGCAUGAAAGCGUGGGUAGCAAACAGGAUUAGAUACCCUGGUAGUCCACGCCGUAAACGAUGAGUACUAGGUGUAGGAGGUAUCGACCCCUUCUGUGCCGCAGUUAACACAAUAAGUACUCCGCCUGGGAAGUACGAUCGCAAGAUUAAAACUCAAAUGAAUUGACGGGGGUCAUAGCUG
This 557-nucleotide ribosomal RNA is filed under the name uncultured bacterium. RNAcentral describes it as "partial 16S ribosomal RNA". It matches the Rfam family "Bacterial small subunit ribosomal RNA", at positions 355 to 928 of the family's 1533-position model. The record is from RNAcentral.